AGCCUGCAAUUGAAAACAAACACGACACGUCAUAACUCUGCACAAAAAAGACAAUCCCUUAAACUAUUCAAGUUUAACAUUUAAUUUUGUACAUAAUGAGAAGUGAGUACUAUUAUCAAUCAAGAGGAGCAAACGAAGCAACAACCAAUUCAAUCAGAAAAACGACAACAGGUAAGUUUGUAAUUGCAAAUUCGUCAACCAAAUAUCAGCAAAAAGGGGCAUUUGCAAGGUAAGUUUGUAAUUGCAAAUCAUUUACAUUCUAAUAUUCAAUUGUAAAUGGUUUUUGUUUUGGAGGAAAUUAGGGAAUGACCAAGAUAUAUAAAGUUCGUCUUUUCACAAUUUAUCAUUUCUAACUAUAGAAUACUUUCUGAAAUUAACAAAAAAAUAAUAAUUUCGGUGACAUUUUCAUUCAGAUAAAAAAUUGGAGACAUUUUCGUGCAUUUUUACAAAUUGUAGAAGAAAAUUUUUUUAAAGCCGAAAAUAUUAUACCCAAAAAAUUUGAGAAGAAAAAUAAUGGUCAUAUAGAACUAUAACUUUAAAAAAAUGUUUACAAAAAAACGUUGUUCAUUUUUUCGUGCAUUUUCUAAGGAUUGUAAAAGCAACCAUUUUUAUCACCCACAAAAUUUUAUCCAAAAAAGUUGAAAAGAAAUAUAAUGGUCACAGAUUUAAAACAGAGAACUGUAACUUUUUUUAAAAAAAAGUGUUAAAAAUCACAAUCUUUUCUAUACGAAUUCGAAAAAUUAAACUUAUUUCCAUGAAAUCUGUAAUUUGUCUCGCAUGCAAAAAAUUAAUGAAAUUGUUAGCCCCAAUAACAAACUUUCCAUUACGAGAAAAAAAUCUCUCCAUUACAAAUUUUUAAAGUGUUUUUUUUUUUUUAAAAAAAAAACAUCUCCCAAUAAUUCAAAUCUAACUAUAAUUUCUCAACAAGAAAAGUUUAAAGAACAAACUUUUCAUGGAAUAAUAGCAACUUACGAAGAGAAAGAUUGGGAAAUACCACCAGAAAACAGAGAUCAGUACAGCAGCAAUGUCUUACAAACCAGAACACUAGAUGACAAUCGCACUGUCUAGAAUAUAGCCCAAGAUGUGCCGGAUAAUAUGCCAAAAUUUUAGCUAAAUCGAACCACAAAAGACCAUUGAUCGGAGGUGUUUUGUGAAGAUGUGCCCAAAAACACAUGAAGUGCUCUCUUCUUCUUUCUGUUAUCUUCUCUCACAUGCAAAUAACAAAGUGGUGUGAUUUGAAUUAGAGUUAGAAUAUGAGAACAUAAACAAGUGGUGUAAUGUUAUAUUAUGUUUAGAGUAUCUUAUAAGCCAUUUUCAUAUUA
Beta vulgaris subsp. vulgaris (sugar beet) is the source of this 1322-nucleotide long non-coding RNA. RefSeq lists it as uncharacterized. NCBI's taxonomy places the organism in Eukaryota, Viridiplantae, Streptophyta, Magnoliopsida, Caryophyllales, Amaranthaceae. The record is from RefSeq and is a predicted model, not a curated record. The transcript is spliced from 2 exons.